CAGCCAAACUAAUCUAAUCACUUAGUUAAUAAAAUAGAGCAACAAUACGUAGUUUAUACUAAAGUUAAACUUAAGUCAUUUUGUAUCAAAUAACGAACAUGAGAUUUAUCUUAUCCCAAAUAGGCUUAUAAUUUAAAAAGCUUCACUUUGUUACACUAUGCAAUCAAAUCAUCCAAGUCUAGUUUUAUCCUUUUCUAUACUCACGUACAUAGAUAUCAAAGAUACCAAACUCUUAUACC
Molecule: long non-coding RNA, 239 nt
Filed under: Capsicum annuum
Lineage: Eukaryota; Viridiplantae; Streptophyta; Magnoliopsida; Solanales; Solanaceae
Description: long non-coding RNA (CANN_LNC010005)
Source: RNAcentral